Molecule: ribosomal RNA, 893 nt
Filed under: Turmalinea yuwanensis
Lineage: Eukaryota; Fungi; Basidiomycota; Agaricomycetes; Boletales; Boletaceae
Description: eukaryotic LSU rRNA
Rfam family: 5.8S ribosomal RNA (bases 214-368)
Source: RNAcentral
AAAAAGUCGUAACAAGGUUUCCGUAGGUGAACCUGCGGAAGGAUCAUUAACGAAAAAGAAAAAGGGAUUGUCGCUGGCCAGGUUAAUUCUUGGCAUCGUGCACGUCUUUUAUCCAUUACACACUUGUGAACCUAUUGUAGAUCCGAGAGGAUCUAUGUCUUUCAUCACUUCUUACAAUCGUAUGUUUUUGAAUGUCAACAAAACAAUUAUUACAACUUUCAGCAAUGGAUCUCUUGGUUCUCGCAUCGAUGAAGAACGCAGCGAAUUGCGAUAAGUAAUGUGAAUUGCAGAUUUUCAGUGAAUCAUCGAAUCUUUGAACGCACCUUGCGCUCCUUGGUAUUCCGAGGAGCAUGCCUGUUUGAGUGUCAUUUAAUUAUCAAUCUACUAUUGAUUGGAGUUGGGAAUUGCUGGCUUUGAUUAGUCGGCUGUCCUUAAAAGCAUUAGCGAGCGAUAAAGUAGUUCAUUUACUGCGUGCACGGCCUCUGACGUGAUAAUGAUCGUUGUGGGCUGGAAGCGUAUGGAUGGUCGAAAAGCUUGCUUCGAAAACCCUUAAUUAGUUAUUGAAGCUAGUUAAAACAAAGAGACAGAACGAGUGGAAUAUUUCUAUGUGCAUAUACGGCUAGUGUAGGUUAUGGAAGCAAAGUAGUAUUGGAAGCUCAAAGUGGAAAUUGGACUAUGUUUUUUUGAAUGGAAGCUGGUGCCAAUUUAAUUAUUGGUGCGGUGAAAGUUUGAAAAGAUUGGUUAAUAGAAGCUAGAGUGAAAAGUGCUACUGUAGAUGUGGAUAUAGCUUAUGUAGGCUGGAAGGCAUAGUGAAUUGAAAGCUUAAUGGUUUUGUUUCGAAUUGAAAUUGACCUCAAAUCAGGUAGGACUACCCGCUGAACUUAAGCAUAUCA